This 706-nucleotide small RNA is filed under the name Pongo abelii (Sumatran orangutan). RNAcentral describes it as "processed transcript". The record is from RNAcentral. Lineage: Eukaryota; Metazoa; Chordata; Mammalia; Primates; Hominidae.
GUUUUUCUCAGGUUUUGCGUGGGAGGCGGUCCCGCGAUUUCAAGGGUCUACACGCUCUUCUAUGGCGAAUGCAACCUGAUGAGGGAGUGGGCUGUAUCUUCAGAGUUGUCUCCGUCUUUCCAAGAACAGAACAAAAUGAACAAGGUAGAACAGAAGUUCCAGGGGUCAGUAUCAUUUAAAGAUGUGACUGUGGGCUUCACCCAGGAGGAGUGGCAGCACCUAGACCCUAGUCAGAGGGCUCUGUAUAGAGAUGUGAUGCUGGAGAACUACAGCAACCUUGUCUCAGUGGGGUAUUGUGUUCACAAACCAGAGGUGAUCUUCAGGCUGGAACAAGGAGAAGAGCCAUGGAAACUGGAGGAAGAAUUCCCAAGCCAGAGCUUUCCAGGUGAGUUAAUAUGUACUGCACAGAUUCACAUCACGGGAUUUGUUGUUUCCCAGUAGUUAAUUCAGGGUUUGGCAAUUUUGGAAGAUUUUUCAAGAACAUCUCCGUAGAGGUCCUAACCUCUGGAAGUGAUGGAGAAUACUGAUUCCUAAAUCAAACCUCCAGAUACUACUCACAAAAAAUUCCUCCUUUUUGAAUCAUUUUUUGAAUGUUUACUAUUCUUACACCUGCCAAUAGUUCAGUCUUUGUCCACCUCAACUUUACUGUUGUUUUUCUUGGUUAUCAUUUUUCUCCAAGCACUUUCAGUGUCCUACCUUGCCUCCA